RNAcentral lists this ribosomal RNA (1429 nucleotides) under Exiguobacterium sp. NH1. RNAcentral's name for it is "bacterial SSU rRNA". It matches the Rfam family "Bacterial small subunit ribosomal RNA". The record is from RNAcentral. Lineage: Bacteria; Bacillati; Bacillota; Bacilli; Caryophanales.
CGUGCGCAUCUAUACAUGCAGUCGAGCGCAGGAGCCGUCUGAACCCUUCGGGGGGACGACGGUGGAAUGAGCGGCGGACGGGUGAGUAACACGUAAAGAACCUGCCCAUAGGUCUGGGAUAACCACGAGAAAUCGGGGCUAAUACCGGAUGUGUCAUCGGACCGCAUGGUCCGCUGAUGAAAGGCGCUCCGGCGUCGCCCAUGGAUGGCUUUGCGGUGCAUUAGCUAGUUGGUGGGGUAACGGCCCACCAAGGCGACGAUGCAUAGCCGACCUGAGAGGGUGAUCGGCCACACUGGGACUGAGACACGGCCCAGACUCCUACGGGAGGCAGCAGUAGGGAAUCUUCCACAAUGGACGAAAGUCUGAUGGAGCAACGCCGCGCGAACGAUGAAGGCCUUCGGUCGGAAAGUCUGGUGGAAGGAAGAACAAGUGCCGCAGCCAAUGGCGGCACUUGACGGUACCUUGCGAGAAAACCACGGCUAACUACGUGCCAGCAGCGCGGUAAUACGUAGGUGGCAGCGUGUCCGGAACUAUUGGGCGUAAAGCGCGCGCAGGCGGCCUCUUAAGUCUGAUGUGAAAGCCCCCGGCUCAACCGGGGAGGGCCAUUGGAAACUGGGAGGCUUGAGUAUAGGAGAGAAGAGUGGAAUUCCACGUGUAGCGGUGAAAUGCGUAGAGAUGUGGAGGAACACCAGUGGCGAAGGCGACUCUUUGGCCUAUAACUGACGCUGAGGCGCGAAAGCGUGGGGAGCAAACAGGAUUAGAUACCCUGGUAGUCCACGCCGUAACGAUGAGUGCUAGGUGUUGGAGGGUUUCCGCCCUUCAGUGCUGAAGCUAACGCAUUAAGCACUCCGCCUGGGGAGUACGGUCGCAAGGCUGAAACUCAAGGAAUUGACGGGGACCCGCACAAGCGGUGGAGCAUGUGUUUAAUUCGAAGCAACGCGAGACCUUACAACUCUGACAUCCCCCUGAACGUACAGAGAUGUGCUUCCCCUUCGGGCCAGGGUGAACGUGCUGCAUGGAUGUCGUCAGCUCGGUCUGAAUGCUGGUAAGUCCCGCAACGAGCGCAACCCUUGUCCUUAGUUGCCAGCAUUUGGUUGGGCACUCUAGGGAGACUGCCGGUGACAAACCGGAGGAAGGUGGGGAUGACGUCAAAUCAUCAUGCCCCUUAUGAGUUGGGCUACACACGUGCUACAAUGGACGGUACAAAGGGCAGCGAAGCCGCGAGGUGGAGCCAAUCCCAGAAAGCCGUUCUCAGUUCGGAUUGCAGGCUGCAACUCGCCUGCAUGAAGUCGGAAUCGCUAGUAAUCGCAGGUCAGCAUACUGCGGUGAAUACGUUCCCGGGUCUUGUACACACCGCCCGUCACACCACGAGAGUUUGCAACACCCGAAGUCGGUGAGGUAACCGUAAGGAGCCAGCCGCCGAAGUGAA